Molecule: ribosomal RNA, 483 nt
Filed under: uncultured bacterium
Lineage: Bacteria
Description: partial 16S ribosomal RNA
Rfam family: Bacterial small subunit ribosomal RNA
Source: RNAcentral
AUUGAACGCUGGCGGCAGGCCUAACACAUGCAAGUCGAGCGGAUGAAGGGAGCUUGCUCCUGGAUUCAGCGGCGGACGGGUGAGUAAUGCCUAGGAAUCUGCCUGGUAGUGGGGGAUAACGUCCGGAAACGGGCGCUAAUACCGCAUACGUCCUGAGGGAGAAAGUGGGGGAUCUUCGGACCUCACGCUAUCAGAUGAGCCUAGGUCGGAUUAGCUAGUUGGUGGGGUAAAGGCCUACCAAGGCGACGAUCCGUAACUGGUCUGAGAGGAUGAUCAGUCACACUGGAACUGAGACACGGUCCAGACCCCUACGGGAGGCAGCAGUGGGGAAUAUUGGACAAUGGGCGAAAGCCUGAUCCAGCCAUGCCGCGUGUGUGAAGAAGGUCUUCGGAUUGUAAAGCACUUUAAGUUGGGAGGAAGGGCAGUAAGUUAAUACCUUGCUGUUUGGACGUUACCAACAGAAUAAGCACCGGCUAACUUCGU